Molecule: long non-coding RNA, 534 nt
Organism: Homo sapiens (human)
Lineage: Eukaryota; Metazoa; Chordata; Mammalia; Primates; Hominidae
Source: Ensembl
UUUCUUAAGUGAAGCACCUCCAUCUCUUUGUCGGUGGUAUUAACUCCAGCAGUCUAGAAGAGACAACGGAAGCAAAAUGGACAAGCACAGGACAUGAGACCUCUAAGAGACGCAGAGCAAGGGAAGGAGACAGAAAGAAGGGGGACUAGAGGAAGAAAUGCUCCCUGACAUCUUCUUUGCAACAAGGAACAAACGAAAACCACCAGGCAGCAAAACCUGUUAGAGGAAGAGGGUGAGACCCUGAGGGAAGAACUCCGGCAGACCUGAGAAGACGAUGGCUGGUUACGACCCUUCACCAGAUGCUGGCAGCCACUGGCCCAUCCGAGCAUGCGGGCGGUGAGCGGCAUGGAGAAAUGGGGCCGGCGGGCAGGGGCUGUUUGGUUUCAGAUAAGAAAAGUGAGGCUCAAAAGGGAGAAGUGACCUGCUCAAGGUGACAAAGCCAAGAAGUGCCAAUCGCUAUCCUGACUCUGCCCCUAAGAAACCUGGACACCCCGGCUGUGUUCUCCAAGCCUGGCUCUUCCCACUAAACUCAUU